This 690-nucleotide ribosomal RNA is filed under the name uncultured Acidobacteriota bacterium. RNAcentral's name for it is "bacterial SSU rRNA". It matches the Rfam family "Bacterial small subunit ribosomal RNA", at positions 15 to 684 of the family's 1533-position model. Lineage: Bacteria; Pseudomonadati; Acidobacteriota. The record is from RNAcentral.
GAUCCUGGCUCAGAAUCAACGCUGGCGGCGUGCCUAAUACAUGCAAGUCGUACGCGAAGACCCCGCAAGGGGCUGUUAGCGUGGCAAACGGGUGAGUAACGCGUGGGCGACCUACCUCAGAGUGGGGGAUAACCCUUCGAAAGGAGGGCUAAUACCGCAUGACAUGCUCUGUUUAGAUACAGGGACAUCAAAGCCGGGGAUCGCAAGACCUGGCGCUUGGAGAGGGGCCUACGUCCGAUUAGCUAGUUGGUGGGGUAACGGCUCACCAAGGCGACGAUCGGUAUCCGGCCUGAGAGGGCGGACGGACACACUGGGACUGAGACACGGCCCAGACUCCUACGGGAGGCAGCAGUAGGGAAUUGUUCGCAAUGGGCGCAAGCCUGACGACGCAACGCCGCGUGGAGGAUGAAGACCUUCGGGUCGUAAACUCCUUUCGACCGAGAUGAAUACCUUUCGACCUAAUACGUUGAAAGGCUGACAGUAUCGAGGGAAGCAGCCCCGGCUAACUCCGUGCCAGCAGCCGCGGUAAUACGGGGGGGGCAAGCGUUGUUCGGAAUUACUGGGCGUAAAGGGUUCGUAGGUGGCCAACUAAGUCAGACGUGAAAUCCCUCAGCUUAACUGGGGAACUGCGUCUGAUACUGGUUGGCUUGAGUGCAGGAGAGGAACGCGGAAUUCCAGGUGUAGCGGUGA